GGAACUUGGAUGGCAAUCACCUAAGAACUCCAAACUCAGUGCCAGGGCAGACUGGUGUCUAUUUUGCAAUGUCUUCCAGUAGUUGAUAACUUUCUACUUUUAAAAUAAUUGGAAGAAUGUAAGCUCUCAACUAGUCCACUAGUCCCGAAACAAUAGAUACCAGCUGGCAGAGAUAAUAGCUGUCUGGAAGAGAGAGAUACAUACCACAUCAAAAAACAACAAAAAAAGGAUGGCUCAAGUACUCAAAAGGCAGCACUAAAAUAAGGCUAUGUCUCUUCCUGAGAAUACUCUGGACUUCAUUCUCUGAUUAAAGAUCACAACUGCUUCUUCGUUGAGGAAAUCAUGUAUUUCAAAGCCACCAAUGAACAAGGUAAUGGGAUGUAUUGGUCCAGCACUGAUAACAGGUUAUCCUACAAUCAAGUAUACUCUUUCCAGAAAGCUGAGUUAGGUAUGCAACUGCCUUUCUAAGCCAUGACUACAUUGCUAAAUGAAUCAUUGAUUUGGAAAAUCUGAAGUGACCUUCAGCUUGUUCUCCAGCUCUUCCUCAACAGAAAAGAGAGGCAAAAUCAGCAAAAUAUUGGAAAGAGAUUUUAACCUGAAUGGAAAAGACAAUAUGAGGGUGAUGAAAGACUCUAGAUGGUCCGUCUUGGAGAGAAGGUUUUGCCGUCUUGCCCCAGUUGGUCUCGAACUCCCGGGCUCAAGCAAUCCACCUGCCUUGGCCUCCCAAAGUGCUGGGAUUACAGACGUGAGCCACCAUACCCUGUCCAGUUUGGAAAUUUCUUACAAAGCUAAACCUAGUCUUAGAAUACAUUCCUGCAAUUGUUCUCUUAGGUAUUUUCUCAACUUACUUGAAAACUUCCAUCCAUAUAAAAAUGGGCACUCUCUAUACAAUCACCUCAAAGUGACUUUAAUCCUUAUUAAUGUAUGAUUCUUCACACACCUCCGGAGUCCAUUAUUGAAUAUUUUAUAGUUCAGGGCCUUUUAGCUCCUAAGCAUUCUUCCCACUGGGCAUCUGUUCCUGUAACGUGGAUUCACACUGCAUAUUCAGUCCCGCUCAAACUGACCAGCGUUAUGAUGUGUUCUUCUCUGCAAUGUGCCCUCAAACAAAACGAAUUGAAUCCUUUCAUGUUUUUACAUUUCUUUAGUUAAUUAUUAGGAGGUAUUGGAGUUGGUGCUACCCUGUGAAUAGAAAAUGUAAGAGGAUAUCUCCGGAUACUCCUGCCCCCUCUUUGAAAUGUGACCAUUUUGAUGUGGAGGAAAUUGUGCUGCUCUUGCUAAGUUAGCCAAAGGAAUUGAUCUGCUUGUAGAAAGUCCACACUGACUAUGAGGCAGACCUGCAAAGGCUGAUGGGGAUACUGUCUUGCAUUGGGUUAGGCAAAGCUGAGUCUUCCUUUAUAUUAAAAUAUUAUGAACUGGCACCUAAAGAGCCAACACUCAGAACUGACCAAACCCAAUCAAGAUGUUCCCUUGUUGUUACUAAAUUAUACUAAUUUGAAUUUACUAAUACUAUUCCCCAAAAGGGAGCUAUAU
This 1530-nucleotide long non-coding RNA is filed under the name Homo sapiens (human). Its description in RNAcentral is "HSALNT0393977". Lineage: Eukaryota; Metazoa; Chordata; Mammalia; Primates; Hominidae. The record is from RNAcentral.